AAAACUUAAACUUUUAUCAUUGCCGUGACCAGUUUUCAUUCGCUGAACCUAUUCUGUUUCCCAUGCCACUUGAAGACUGCACUUAGUUUUUGGAGUUUCCAGACUUUUUCUACCCUGUCUGUAGAUAUUCGAAAUUGUUAUCUGGCAUCUCUGGUCUGAUGUUCGUUCAUUUUCAUUUUGUGAUUGAUAAUCGAAGACACAGGAAGCAAAUUUGUAUUCUUCGCUAAAAACACGAUUAGAUCGCUUGGUGUAAUUGCACGCAUGUACUGAUAUUAUCAAAAUGGCGUCUGGUUUAUCGAGCUUCAUCGAGAUUUCCUGCAGUUUUGCAAAGCUUCGCGCCGUGUUCCGGCCAGCGGUAACCGAUCCUACCUAGAUUGCGGUUCCGCUGGCCUUCGGCGAUAUGAUGACUACUUCUUAGAGAAAUCAAUUUAUUGUUUUAUGUGUGAUUUUCUAAUAAAUGUUUGGUGUUCGUA
This is a long non-coding RNA of Malaya genurostris, 473 nucleotides long. RefSeq lists it as uncharacterized. The record is from RefSeq and is a predicted model, not a curated record. Lineage: Eukaryota; Metazoa; Arthropoda; Insecta; Diptera; Culicidae. The transcript is spliced from 2 exons.